Molecule: long non-coding RNA, 2310 nt
Organism: Paramacrobiotus metropolitanus
Lineage: Eukaryota; Metazoa; Tardigrada; Eutardigrada; Parachela; Macrobiotidae
Exons: 8
Source: RefSeq, a predicted model, not a curated record
GUAUCACAGGCAUUUCCCGCAAACAUCCAUUAGUUGCAUGCCAGCAUUUGCCGCAUCUUCUCUACCCCAGUGUAACGUAGUGUACAUGAAAAUCCUUCUACAGAAUAAUGAACUUCCUGUUAUAACCUGCAAUGCUUUCCGGAAAAUGCACCAGAACCAGUGAAACUUUCAGAAACCAUGAAAAGUCAUUUCUGAAAAUUCCGAAAAACCGCGCCGAACGGCUGUGAAUCGUGAUAUGCUGUAUGGCUAUACAACCAAUAUGCGUUUCCAUUCGACUUCCAACUUUAUAAUUAUUACACUACCUUCUGGGCUUUUGGGCUCUGAGUCCAGCGUCCUGGAUUUACACCGAAGAUUUUCAUGGGUCCCGUCGAUCCAUAUGCUGGAGGAUGUGGUAUUGCUCCAGAGCAGGCCCGAAUACGAGCGCCGCUAGGAAGGCGAAUACCGCACCUUUUACCCCUGAAAUUCCCAGAGUUGUCGCAUUGGCUCGGCUAAGGGAGACACCUCGGAUAAUGCUCACCUAGUGUUCCACUUCGGAAUUCCUUGCACUGAACCCAGUCGGAUAAAUUUCUUCAUUGCCUGAAUCAUGUUGAAUCCACAAGCGUGAUAUUGUCGUGAGUAAAGAACUGAUCAGAAUGCGAGAAGUGCUGCGCAUCACCGUGGAUCCAAGAGUGCGGAAAUCCGGGAAUCGGCUAUCCAAUUUUCGAGUCGUAUCCUGCCCUAUCCCAUGAGUCGUCAACGGAGUGCCGCGAGCCAAGACUGAAAACAAACUCGGAGCAAUUUCACCUCGGUCAACCUAAACGCAUCGUGAUUAAGUCAAUGAAAGCUUGCACUAUUGUCAAAUAACUAUAAAAUUAUAUUAUAAUUAAAAGCAAUUUUAAUACAAACACCGAGAACGAAAAUUAAAUCCGGUGGUGCAAUACCGUGGCCAUAGCACUGGCGCUAAAUUUAAGAAUACUGUAAAAUUAAUAUUUUAUCACAUAUUUUUUUCUCGUUUGCAGGGGAUGGUUUUCUGUCAAUUUUCAUGUAUCUGCCCAGUUAACAAACAGCAUACUUUGCGAGCGCGCGCUAUUUAAAAAGUGCCGGGAUAAGCACUUGUUGUUAUGGACCUACAAUGACUUCCCGGCGCACCUUAGGUGCACGGCUCCCAACCGCCACAGGGCACCAUCCUGAUAGAACGGAUGGCUGGAAAGCGAAUGUUCGGGACGUACUUCCGUGUAGGCUUUUAUGGACCGAAAUUUGGUGAUUUGGACGGUGAAGAAUUUAUCUAUAAAGAACCGGUCAUCACAAAGCUACCGGAAGUCUCCAGUCGCCUGGAAUCAUUUUAUUCGGAAAAGUACGGCGCUGAAUAUGUCGACAUCAUUAAAGAUUCCAAUGCCGUCAAACGGGAACUGUUGGAUCCGGAGAAGGUGUACAUACAGAUUACUUAUGUGGAGCCGCAUUUCGAUAAAUGGGAACUGCGCAAUCGCGAAACGUUCUUCCAAAAGAACUACAAUCUCCGUCGAUUCGUGUACUCUACACCGUUUACCAUGGAUGGCCGGGCUCAUGGCGAUUUACAUGAACAGUAUAAGCGGAAAACGAUUGUUACGACCGCUAAUGUAGCUUCGUAGCCGGCUUUUCCGUACGUGAAAACGCGAAUUCAAGUUAUCGCAAGGGAGCAGUCGGUUCUGACGCCGAUCGAGUUAGCGAUCGAAGAUAUUCAGAAGAAAACGGAAGAACUACAUGCGGCCAUUAAGCAGGAACCUUCGGAUGCCAAAAUGUUGCAAAUGGUUUUGCAGGGCUGCAUUGGAACAACGGUUAAUCAAGGUCCUUUGGAAGUAGCCGCAGUUUUCUUGUCGCAUCCACAUGACCAACCAAUGACGGCCCUACAGCAUAAACUGCGUUUGUGCUUCAAAGAUUUUUCCAGACGGUGUGCGGAAGCUCUGAAAUUAAACAAAACCCUUAUCGCGGCUGAUCAGAAAGAAUACCAACGGGAAUUAGAAAAGAAUUAUCAGCGCUUCCAUGAUUCCAUCAAACCAAUGUUGCAGUACAAUGCCGAAAUGCUGGCUGCCGAUGAACUGGAAAAUUCCAACUUGAAUUCGACUUGUUAAUCUCUUUUGUUUUUUCUUUGUUUAUAGAUGUUCUCUACGUAAGAAUCUGAUUGCACUUGUUACUUAUGCACAACGGUAAUGUUUGAACUAUUGUCGGGAAUCUCGAUUUGACAUCUUGCAGUCUCCAAAUUGUUGAUAAUGUGGUUCAGUUUAUUUUUUGUUUGUUAACAGUCUUGUGAUUCGGUUCCAGUUUAAAUUUUUUGUGGGUGUUUAAACUCACUAC